GAUGAACGCUGGCGGCGUGCCUAAUACAUGCAAGUCGAGCGAACGGACGAGAAGCUUGCUUCUCUGAUGUUAGCGGCGGACGGGUGAGUCACACGUGGAUAACCUACCUAUAAGACUGGGAUCACUUCGGGAAACCGGCUCUAAUACCGGAUGAUAUUUUGAACCGCAUGGUUCAAAAGUGAAAGACGGUCUUGCUGUCUCUUCUAGAUGGAUCCGCGCUGCAUUAGCUAGUUGGUAAGGUAACGGCUUACCAAGGCAACGAUGCAUAGCCGACCUGAGAGGGUGAUCGGCCACACUGGAACUGAGACACGGUCCAGACUCCUACGGGAGGCAGCAGUAGGGAAUCUUCCGCAAUGGGCGAAAGCCUGACGGAGCAACGCCGCGUGAGUGAUGAAGGUCUUCGGAUCGUAAAACUCUGUUAUUAGGGAAGAACAUAUGUGUAAGUAACUGUGCACAUCUUGACGGUACCUAAUCAGAAAGCCACGGCUAACUACGUG
This 497-nucleotide ribosomal RNA is filed under the name uncultured bacterium. Its description in RNAcentral is "partial 16S ribosomal RNA". It matches the Rfam family "Bacterial small subunit ribosomal RNA", at positions 28 to 507 of the family's 1533-position model. The record is from RNAcentral.